This 198-nucleotide ribosomal RNA is filed under the name uncultured bacterium. Its description in RNAcentral is "partial 16S ribosomal RNA". It matches the Rfam family "Bacterial small subunit ribosomal RNA", at positions 328 to 539 of the family's 1533-position model. The record is from RNAcentral.
ACGCUCGACACCUACGGGAGGCGGCAGUGGGGAAUAUUGCACAAUGGGGGAAACCCUGAUGCAGCGACGCCGCGUGAGUGAAGAAGUAUUUCGGUAUGUAAAGCUCUAUCAGCAGGGAAGAAGAUGACGGUACCUGAGUAAGAAGCCCCGGCUAACUACGUGCCAGCAGUCGCGGUAAUCUGAGCGGGCUGGCAAGGC